CAAUAUAAGGUGUGGAGGCCUUGGCAACCAUCGAGAGAGUGUCCGAUGAGUACAGCAGGCAGAGCAGAUGCAGGCAGAGCAGAUACAGGUAGAGCAUCAAAGCAAAGCAGAGCGUCAGGUAGAGUAGCUACAGAGAGGCUUGAUGUAGCGGUUUACUCCAUAGGAAGCAUCCAAGGGCGUGGAGGAUCCUGAUACUGGCAAGCCUGUGGAGGGUCUCCUUGAG
RNAcentral lists this long non-coding RNA (223 nucleotides) under Elaeis guineensis (African oil palm). RNAcentral describes it as "long non-coding RNA (EGUI_LNC026153)". Lineage: Eukaryota; Viridiplantae; Streptophyta; Magnoliopsida; Arecales; Arecaceae. The record is from RNAcentral.